CUGCCAGUGAGCCUGCAGGCAGUGGGUGGUUCCCUGCCCAGGCAUCACCUCCCAGAGCCCAUGAGGACUUUUGCCUGUUUUGGUCAAAGUUAGAUUGGAUUCUUUCUUCCACUUCUUCAAUUUCAUUGUUCUUAAGUUUUUGACGUGUUUAAGAUAUUAGUGUUAAAAUAACUUCUGUUGAACUGAGUAUAACCAAGUAACUUGGAUGUGAUUUGGGCUGAUUUAUAAUUAGCAGUUCUAAGCAGGAGACUAAUUUAACUGUGUCAUCCUUUCUGCUGUAACUCCUUUGCUCUUUGGUGCUGUUUUCCACCAGCCUAAGAGCAUGGGAGGGAAUGCCCUGCUGUGUCUCGGCUAACAGGUCAGCCCAACCUGCUUUGACUCACCCAUUUAGGAAAUUGAGUUGAAUACCAGGUGUGCAAAGUAGAUCUGAUAUGAAGGAUUAUUUGUUUUGCUAUAGCAUUUUGUGGUAAGAUUAUCUCAAGGAAGAGAAAGUGACUGUUCCAGGCCAAAAAAGAGGACAGCUUUGUGUUUCCGGACAGCACUUCCCAACUGACCUGUCUAAUCUUUUCUACAGAUAAUUUUUUUCCAGCACCUGAGGAGAGACAACAAAAGGCCAAACAAAUGGCCAAGCUGAUACUUGCUUCUGAAUUACUUCAAGUUAAACUCAGCUACCUGAUGUGGCUGGAAUCAACACCAAUAUGCAGGAAAGCACAUUUGCAAGGGGCAGUCCAUUGCAAUCCUGGCAGUGCUGAGAGUCACAAAGAUCCCUGUCUUGGCACAGAGUGGCCUCCCAAACAUUCCAUGUGCUGCUGUGCAGAUUUACAGACCUCCAAGGGAACUCCAAGGAUACUCAGGUGGGCUGGGCAUGUGAACUGCUGCCAUUUGUGACAGUCACAGCAGAAAACAAGUAGAGCAGUGCUGCAGAGC
Molecule: long non-coding RNA, 927 nt
Filed under: Ficedula albicollis (Collared flycatcher)
Lineage: Eukaryota; Metazoa; Chordata; Aves; Passeriformes; Muscicapidae
Description: lncRNA (ENSFALG00000025006.1)
Source: RNAcentral